UCACUUCAUCACCCAGGCUGGAGUACAGUGGCACGACCUCAGCGUACUGCAACCUCCGCCUCCCAGGCUGAAGUGAUUCUUGUGCCUUACCCUCCCAAGUAGCUGGGACUACAGGCACACGCCACCUUGCCCAGCUAAUUUUUCUAUUUUUAGUAGAGACAGAGUUUUGCCAUGUUGGCCAGGGUGGUCUUGAACUCCUGACCUCAAGUGAUCUGCCCACCUUGGCCUAUCAAAGUACUGGGAUUGCAGGCAUCAACCACUGUGCCCGGCCGCCACUAUUUCUUAAAAGGAAGGGAAGGCUCCAUUUCCUCCAUAUCUUAAAGGAGAAAAAAAGCCAGUGGGAAAAGGAAAUAACAGAGAUGGAACACAGAAAAAGAACAGACGCCAAAGAUGAAGAGGAAGCCUUUCUGGAUUGGAGUGAUGAUGA
Molecule: small RNA, 427 nt
Filed under: Pongo abelii (Sumatran orangutan)
Lineage: Eukaryota; Metazoa; Chordata; Mammalia; Primates; Hominidae
Description: processed transcript
Source: RNAcentral